This 253-nucleotide ribosomal RNA is filed under the name uncultured bacterium. RNAcentral's name for it is "partial 16S ribosomal RNA". It matches the Rfam family "Bacterial small subunit ribosomal RNA", at positions 524 to 776 of the family's 1533-position model. The record is from RNAcentral.
UACGUAGGGUGCAAGCGUUGUCCGGAAUUACUGGGCGUAAAGCGUGCGUAGACGGUUAUUUAAGUCGGGUGUGAAAGCCCCGGGCUCAACCUGGGAAUUGCAUUCGAGACUGAAUAGCUAGGGUACGGUAGAGGGAACUGGAAUUUACGGUGUAGCAGUGAAAUGCGUAGAUAUCGUAAGGAAGACCAGUGGCGAAGGCGAGUUCCUGGACAGUUGCUGACGCUGAGGCACGAAGGCCAGGGGAGCAAACGGG